RNAcentral lists this ribosomal RNA (232 nucleotides) under uncultured bacterium. RNAcentral describes it as "partial 16S ribosomal RNA". It matches the Rfam family "Bacterial small subunit ribosomal RNA", at positions 1268 to 1500 of the family's 1533-position model. The record is from RNAcentral.
CAAAUCCCUAAAAGCCAUCCCAGUUCGGAUUGCAGGCUGAAACCCGCCUGUAUGAAGUUGGAAUCGCUAGUAAUCGCGGAUCAGCAUGCCGCGGUGAAUACGUUCCCGGGCCUUGUACACACCGCCCGUCACACCAUGAGAGUCGGGAACACCCGAAGUCCGUAGCCUAACCACAAGGGGGGCGCGGCCGAAGGUGGGUUCGAUAAUUGGGGUGAAGUCGUAACAAGGUAAC